Oxyura jamaicensis (ruddy duck) is the source of this 2147-nucleotide long non-coding RNA. RefSeq lists it as uncharacterized. Lineage: Eukaryota; Metazoa; Chordata; Aves; Anseriformes; Anatidae. The record is from RefSeq and is a predicted model, not a curated record. The transcript has 4 exons.
CUAAAAUACCAGUCAGUGCUCAUGAAUUCAUCUUCCCUCCAGGAUCAUAUUCCACAAGAUUCUUCUAAGUAUCUCUCUUACAAGAUCAGAUAAUGGUUGAGGUUGUAAGGGACCUCUGGAUGUCACCUUAUCACUCCCUUAAUCAAGCAUGGUCCCAUAGAGUGGGUUGACCAGGACAAUGUCCAGGCACCUUUUGAAGAUCUCCAAGGAGGGAGACUCCUCAGCCUCUCCAGGCAACCUGUGCCAGGGCUCAGUCACCUGCACAGUAAAAAACUGUUUCUUGAUGUUCAGACAGAACCUUCCUGUGUUCCAGGUUGUGCCUUUUGCCUCUUGACCUGUCGCUAGACACUACAGAAAAGAGCCUGGUUCUCUCCUUUUUGCACCCUCCCUUCAGGUAUUUUGUACAUGUCACCCCUAAGCCUUCUCUUCUUCAGGCUAACCAGUGCCAGAUCUUUCAACCUUUCCUCAUACAAGGUGCUCUAGUCCAUUAAUCAUUUUAGUGACCCUCAGUGGAUUUUCUCUAGUAGCUUCAUCUCUCUCUUGUAGGAUCCCAGAACUGGAUGCAAUACUCCACAUGUGGUCUUACCAGUGCUGACCACAGGAGAAGGAUCACCUCCCUUGACCUGCCAGCAACUUUAUUCCUAAUGCAGCCCAUGAUACUAUUAACCUUGUUUGUUGUUGUUGUUGAGAGGACACGUUUUUGGCUCACGUUAAACCUGGCACCCACCAGGACCCCCAAGUAUUUUUUUCUCCACAUUUUCCAUAGUCUUACUUGAUUUUAUAUUCAUCAGGAUGGACCUCUCUCGAGCUUAGAUGUGGUGAUCCUUAAAUCUUAACCAUCAUUUUUAGGUCUCUCUUCCCUUUAUGGCCUUAUCAAAUGAAACUCUUCCAAGCAGAUACAUGAAGAUGUUAAAGUCUGCCUUCCUGAAGUCCAGUGUUUUGAGCUUGCUUUUUAGACUCCUUCCUCCCCUCAGGAUCCUGAACUCCACCACCUCAUGGGCACUUCAGCCAAGGUUUCCUUUUACUUUCACAUCCCCAAUGAAUGCCUCAUUGUUGGUGAGCAUGAGAUUCAGUAAAACACCUCUCCUCAGUGGCUCCUCUACCAUUUGUGAAGGAAUUUGUCAUUGACACACUCCAGGAACCUCCUGCAUUUCCGAUGUCUUGUUGUGUUAUCCAGGAUCAGGGCCUGUGAACAUACUCUAAUCUGUGUGUAGAGGGCCUUGCCUGUUAAUUCUUCUUGGUCAGGUGACCUGCAGCAGACACCCACUACAAUAUCACCCUUACAUGUCUUCACUUUAGCCCUCACAUGUAAGCUCUCAGCUGGCUCACCAUCCAUCCCCAGGCAAAGCUCCAUAUAUCCCAGCAGUUCUCACAUAAGGGGCAACUCCCCCUCUUUGUCUUCCUGGUCCGUCUUUUCUAAAGAACCUGUAUCUCUCCAUGGCAACAUUCCUGUCAUGGGAACCAUCCUACCAUGUCUCCAUGAUCCCAACAAAAUGGCAGCCCUGCAACUGCACACAGGUUUAACACACUGCAUUCAUUCCCCACAUUGCAUGCUUUACUGUAUGUGAACUUCAGAGCAUUACAUGGCAACAUUCAUUGUAUCAUGUCCUCCAACUUAGAACGCUUCAGCUACCUUCACAGUAAUGAGAUGAAACGCAUGCUUAAUUUAUACUGGUGUUGCUGAAUCAAUGCUUUUGACCUAGAAUUGUUUUACAUUUUUAUUGUCUUUUAUCUUCACCCAUAAACAUCUUUACUUCAAAACUGUUGUUAACCUGUUCUUGCAUUCCUUUCCCAUGCAAAGGUGCUUAAGCUUAGGUAGAGCGCAGAAAAGAAGAACCCAUUCUAAUGCCAAGACAACUUGAAAAGUGUCUCUUUUAAAAGAAUGAAACUUCUAGGAAGGAUUUUGAAGUAUUUUCCUUCUUCCUAACUGGACAAUUUCCUUAAGUCUUGUCUCCAAAAUCUCAGCAUCAGAUUACCUUGCAGUCCUUGAUAUUCUGGAUAUCGUGAACCUUGACUGUGCAUGGAAAUCUUCUCCAUGACUAUUAGGAGAACAUUUUGUUUCUUACGGACUUUAGAGACUGUCAUGGAAAAGAAGACAGAAGGCAGCCAAAAGGUCACCAGAAUAUUUCCACUCAUAAUGGAAAAAU